Molecule: ribosomal RNA, 468 nt
Filed under: uncultured bacterium
Lineage: Bacteria
Description: partial 16S ribosomal RNA
Rfam family: Bacterial small subunit ribosomal RNA
Source: RNAcentral
GACGAACGCUGGCGGCGUGCUUAACACAUGCAAGUCGAACGGAAAGGCCCUGCUUUUGUGGGGUGCUCGAGUGGCGAACGGGUGAGUAACACGUGAGUAACCUGCCCUUGACUUUGGGAUAACUUCAGGAAACUGGGGCUAAUACCGGAUAGGAGCUCCUGCUGCAUGGUGGGGGUUGGAAAGUUUCGGCGGUUGGGGAUGGACUCGCGGCUUAUCAGCUUGUUGGUGGGGUAGUGGCUUACCAAGGCUUUGACGGGUAGCCGGCCUGAGAGGGUGACCGGCCACAUUGGGACUGAGAUGCGGCCCAGACUCCUACGGGAGGCAGCAGUGGGGAAUAUUGCACAAUGGGCGGAAGCCUGAUGCAGCAGCGCCGCGUGCGGGAUGACGGCCUUCGGGUUGUAAACCGCUUGCGCCUGUGACGAAGCGUGAGUGACGGUAAUGGGUAAAGAAGCACCGGCUAACUACGUG